RNAcentral lists this transfer RNA (86 nucleotides) under Candidatus Colicola faecequi. RNAcentral's name for it is "tRNA-Leu". It matches the Rfam family "tRNA". From Rfam's summary of the family: Transfer RNA (tRNA) molecules are approximately 80 nucleotides in length. Their secondary structure includes four short double-helical elements and three loops (D, anti-codon, and T loops). Further hydrogen bonds mediate the characteristic L-shaped molecular structure. tRNAs have two regions of fundamental functional importance: the anti-codon, which is responsible for specific mRNA codon recognition, and the 3' end, to which the tRNAs corresponding amino acid is attached (by aminoacyl-tRNA synthetases). tRNAs cope with the degeneracy of the genetic code in two manners: having more than one tRNA (with a specific anti-codon) for a particular amino acid; and 'wobble' base-pairing, i.e. permitting non-standard base-pairing at the 3rd anti-codon position. Lineage: Bacteria; Pseudomonadati; Bacteroidota; Bacteroidia; Bacteroidales; Paludibacteraceae. The record is from RNAcentral.
GCCGCCAUGGUGGAAUCGGUAGACACGAGGGACUUAAAAUCCCUUGCCCAGUGAUGGGCGUGCCGGUUCGACCCCGGCUGGCGGUA